RNA transcript from Ictalurus punctatus (channel catfish), 2168 nucleotides. It is a transcript of the gene named glutathione hydrolase 1 proenzyme, with no coding region annotated. NCBI's taxonomy places the organism in Eukaryota, Metazoa, Chordata, Actinopteri, Siluriformes, Ictaluridae. The transcript is spliced from 13 exons. The record is from RefSeq and is a predicted model, not a curated record.
ACGGUAUGACGCUAUUGGCCGCACAACAAUCAUCACUUAUCUACAAUGUUUUAUAGUACAUUUCUUCCAACUGCAGAUGGCAGGAUUUGACAGUAAUGUGGGUAUUACAGUGCCAUUUAGUUUUGUACAGUACAUCUCUGUUGUGCGCCAGAGAUACACGUUAGAUGAGGUUUUGAUUUCAUUUCAUUUUUUUGUGCAGUGUAAAAACAGUAAGUAGCACUCGUGGGUGAAAGAAAGAAAAGGGUGAAGAAGAGCUGAAGAACGUUUAGUAGUAAGGAACCUAUUACUCUGACUUGGUUUCUGACUCUGUUUCAGCUCCAUCGUGAUUGUGAAGACCAACCAUAGUGACACUGAGGGGAAAUAAUGCAGGGGCAAGCUGAUGGCUCUGAGGAAUGGUUACUUGGUCCACAAACCGGGAGAAGAAAGCUGAGACUCAAGGUAAAGAAGUCCAUCAGUGUUUCCCUGGUGUUCAUUACUGUGAUACUUUUUCUCAUCCUGCUCUUAUGGUGGAUAUAUAAAGAUACCAACAUCUCAAAUCACUGCUACUCCAAAGCCGCCGUAGCAGCCGACGCUGGGAAAUGUUCUGAGAUCGGCAGGGACGUGUUAAAACGAAAUGGUUCUGCUGUGGACGCCGCCAUCACAGCGCUGCUGUGCGUCGGACUGUUUAACGCUCACAGCAUUGGCAUCGGAGGAGGACAUUUCUUCAUCAUCUAUAACGGCACUACAGGGAAAGUGGAGACAAUCACGGCGAAGGAAAUGGCUCCCCAAAACGCAUCACGUGACAUGUUCGGCAACAGCACACAACUCGCUCAAAAAGGAGGCCUGUCCAUCGCGGUCCCCAGUGAGCUCCGUGGCUAUGAACUGGCACACCGGCGUCAUGGCCGCCUGCCGUGGAAGGAGCUGUUUAAACCGAGCAUCCAGCUGGCACGUGACGGCAUCCGAGUCAGCAGAGCUCUCGCCAAAUCCAUGUGGGAUAACCAGGAGGCCAUUCAGGCUGAUCCAGCACUGUGUGAAGUAUUUUGUGAUUCCAACAAAACAGUCCUGAGGGAAAACGACACUAUCAGAUUUCCACGGCUAGCAGACACCUACGAGAGGAUCGCUGAGGAAGGAGCUGAUGUGUUUUAUAAUGGCUCCAUGGCUAAAACGAUAGUGAAUGACAUCCGGGCUGCAGGUGGCGUUAUAACACUUGAAGACCUGUCAGGGUAUACACCAGAGUUGAAUGAAAGCCCACUGAAGAUAAAUGUAGGAGAAUACACCAUGCAUUUUCCAGAUGCUCCAUCUGGUGGUCCUGUGCUAGCGCUAAUCCUCAACAUUGUGAACGGUUAUAAUUUCUCACACCGCAGUGUGUCGACUACAGAGGAGAAGACGCUCACGUAUCACCGCAUCAUCGAGGCUUUCCACUUCGCCUUCGCUAUGAGGAGCAGGCUGGGAGAUCCUCACUACCUCAACAUCACUGACCUCAUCCACAACAUGACCUCAGACUACUUUGCCGAUAACAUCCGCAGUAAGAUCACAGAUAACACCACGCACCCAGAGAGUUUCUAUGGGCCGGAAUACUUUAACUCUGAGGAUCAUGGGACGGCUCACCUGUCCAUCAUCGCUGAGGAUGGGAGCGCCGUGGCUGUGACCAGCAGCAUCAACCUGCAGUUUGGUUCUAAAGUGAUGUCACGUUCCACUGGAAUCAUCUUUAACGAUAUGAUGGAUGACUUCAGUUCUCCAAACAUCCCAAACGCAUUCGGCAUUCCUCCUUCUCGUAGUAACUUCAUCCAGCCAGGUAAAAGGCCGCUCUCGUCCAUGAGCCCAACCAUCAUCUGCGACAAACACAACAAAGUUAAAAUGGUCGUGGGAGCUGCAGGUGGGACGAAGAUCACCACGGCAACGGCUCUGGUAACACACACAGCUUUAACCUUAAAAGGUGAUCCUGAACACUCUGUUCUUUAACUACGAUCUGAAGAGAGCUGUAGAGGAACCCAGAUUCCACAACCAGCUCAACCCCAACGACACCGUGCUGGAACAGGACUUCGAGAAGAGUGUUAAAGAUGGACUAGAGCAGAAGAAUCAUGUGAUAAAGUGGUUGGAGGGUACUCCUUCGGUGGUUCAGGCCGUGGUGAGGCAGGAUGAUCAGAUCUGUGCUGAAUCGGACCCACGGAAAGGAGGAUAUCCCGCCG